GAUGAAGAACGUAGCGAAGUGCGAUAAGCAAUGCGAAUUGCAGAACCGUGAGUCAUCAGAUUUUUGAACGCAACUGGCGCCGAUUGGAACUCCAACCGGCAUGCUUGUUUCAGUGUCUCUUUUUCUCAUCACCCAAAUCUUAAUGCGAGAGAUACCCUUCUCUUGUCAAGUACGAAAGCACUCUGAGCCCUGCGAGUGGCUUGGCUUCGGUCAAGGCCACACUCAAUGCAGCAGUCACAUUUCACAAUGUGAACUCAUUGAGAGUAGAGUCAGCGCAGUUUACUGCUAGUGCUUAGAGCCUUUAAACUCUUCUUGUAUCUGAAAUCAAGCAGGACCACCCGCUGAACUUAAGCAUAUCAAUAAGCGGAGGA
This 371-nucleotide unclassified non-coding RNA is filed under the name soil metagenome. Its description in RNAcentral is "partial contains 5.8S ribosomal RNA, internal transcribed spacer 2, and large subunit ribosomal RNA". The stretch from base 1 to 118 matches the Rfam family "5.8S ribosomal RNA", at positions 35 to 154 of the family's 154-position model. The record is from RNAcentral.